This 207-nucleotide ribosomal RNA is filed under the name uncultured bacterium. RNAcentral's name for it is "partial 16S ribosomal RNA". It matches the Rfam family "Bacterial small subunit ribosomal RNA", at positions 568 to 774 of the family's 1533-position model. The record is from RNAcentral.
CGUCUAGGCGGAACGGCAAGUCGGUUGUGAAAUCCCUCGGCUCACCCGAGGACGUGCACCCGAAACUGCCGGUCUAGAGGACGAGAGGGGAGAGUGGAACUCCUGGUGGAGCGGUGAAAUGCGUAGAUAUCAGGAGGAACGCCGGUGGCGAAAGCGACUCUCUGGCUCGUUCCUGACGCUGAAGCGCGAAAGCUAGGGGAGCGAACG